Lampris incognitus (smalleye Pacific opah) is the source of this 129-nucleotide small nucleolar RNA. RefSeq annotates it as small nucleolar RNA SNORA63. The record is from RefSeq and is a predicted model, not a curated record. Lineage: Eukaryota; Metazoa; Chordata; Actinopteri; Lampriformes; Lampridae. The transcript has a single exon.
CUGCAGGAUAAGUUACAGUGCAACUUGUGUGGUGCUGCAUUGUCGUUCCCCCUGCAAACAGUAAAUUGUUUCCUUCUAUCCCUGUCUAUCUGUUUUCCCUUAUAGGCAGGGACGCUUGGGCUCAGACAU